This 472-nucleotide ribosomal RNA is filed under the name uncultured bacterium. RNAcentral describes it as "bacterial SSU rRNA". It matches the Rfam family "Bacterial small subunit ribosomal RNA", at positions 328 to 793 of the family's 1533-position model. The record is from RNAcentral.
GCAAAGCACUCCUACGGGAGGCAGCAGUGGGGAAUAUUGCACAAUGGGCGCAAGCCUGAUGCAGCCAUGCCGCGUGUAUGAAGAAGGCCUUCGGGUUGUAAAGUACUUUCAGCAGUGAGGAAGGUGGAUAUGUUAAUAGCAUAUUCAUUUGACGUUAGCUGCAGAAGAAGCACCGGCUAACUCCGUGCCAGCAGCCGCGGUAAUACGGAGGGUGCGAGCGUUAAUCGGAAUUACUGGGCGUAAAGCGCAUGCAGGUGGUUUGUUAAGUCAGAUGUGAAAGCCCGGGGCUCAACCUCGGAAUUGCAUUUGAAACUGGCAAACUAGAGUACUGUAGAGGGGGUAGAAUUUCAGGUGUAGCGGUGAAAUGCGUAGAGAUCUGAAGGAAUACCGGUGGCGAAGGCGGCCCCCUGGACAGAUACUGACACUCAGAUGCAAAAGCGUGGGGAGCAAACAGGAUUAGAUACCCUGGUAG